This 79-nucleotide small nuclear RNA is filed under the name Spermophilus dauricus (Daurian ground squirrel). The record is from RNAcentral. Lineage: Eukaryota; Metazoa; Chordata; Mammalia; Rodentia; Sciuridae.
GUGCUUGCCUCAGCAGCACAUACACUAAAUUUGGAACAAUACAAAGGAGAUUAGUAUGGGCUUUGUGCAAGGAUUACAU